RNAcentral lists this long non-coding RNA (347 nucleotides) under Coffea arabica (coffee). RNAcentral's name for it is "long non-coding RNA (CARA_LNC002378)". The record is from RNAcentral. Lineage: Eukaryota; Viridiplantae; Streptophyta; Magnoliopsida; Gentianales; Rubiaceae.
GAGUAGCAAGUAGUAUAAAAAAGUUAAGCAGCGAAACAGAAAAUACGGGUCUGAGGAGAAGAGAGCGACAAUUCCUCUCCGCUCUCAGGUCUCCGCUUUCUGGCCCUCCCAGCUCCUAACACUUUGUAUCCGUCGGUCUCCGUCCUCCCCGGCCGCCUGCCUCCCCGACUAGCUGCCCUGCCCGGAGGACACCUCCGUUCUUCUUCAUCUUCUUCUUCCCAUUGCCACCGGGAAAAAAAAGGCACGCAAUUUUCAUUGCAAUCUAUAUCUCAAUCAGCAGCAAUACUGAGAUCAUUUCAGAACCAGGAAAAAUAAGAACAGAGUAAUUGUAUGAUGGACGCUUCGGC